AUACGGCCGUACCAUGCUGAAUAUACCGGUUCUCGUUAGAUCACCAAAGUCAAGCAUCAUCGGGCGCGGUGGGGUGGGUGACCACCUGGGAACACCGCGUGCCGUU
Non-coding RNA from Caerostris darwini, 106 nucleotides. NCBI's taxonomy places the organism in Eukaryota, Metazoa, Arthropoda, Arachnida, Araneae, Araneidae. The record is from the annotation of a GenBank genome assembly.